GAUGAUGAACGUAGCGAAAUGCGAUAAGUAGUGUGAAUUGCAGAAUUCAGUGAAUCAUCGAAUCUUUGAACGCACAUUGCGCCCCAUGGUAUUCCGUGGGGCAUGCCUGUUCGAGCGUCAUUUACCCCCUCAAGCUCCGCUUGGUGUUGGGCGUCUGUCCCGCUUCGCGCGCGGACUCGCCCCAAAGGUAUUGGCAGCGGUCGUGCCAGCUUCUCGCGCAGCACAUUGCGCUUCUCGAGGCACCGGUGGGCCCGCGUCCAUCAAGCUCACCCCCCCAGUUUGACCUCGGAUCAGGUAGGGAUACCCGCUGAACUUAAGCAUAUCAAUAAGCGGAGGA
RNAcentral lists this unclassified non-coding RNA (337 nucleotides) under soil metagenome. RNAcentral describes it as "partial contains 5.8S ribosomal RNA, internal transcribed spacer 2, and large subunit ribosomal RNA". The stretch from base 1 to 120 matches the Rfam family "5.8S ribosomal RNA", at positions 35 to 154 of the family's 154-position model. The record is from RNAcentral.